AAUAUUGGACAAUGGGCGCAAGCCUGAUCCAGCCAUGCCGCGUGUGUGAAGAAGGCCUUCGGGUUGUAAACUUCUUUUAUUGGGGAAGAAACCUCCGAUUUCUAUUGGAGCCGACGGUACCUGAGGAAUAAGCACCGGCUAACUCCGUGCCAGCAGCCGCGGUAAUACGGAGGGUGCAAGCGUUAUCCGGAUUCACUGGGUUUAAAGGGUGUGUAGGCGGAUAUUUAAGUCAGUGGUGAAAUCUCCGGGCUCAACCCGGAAACUGCCAUUGAUACUAUUUAUCUUGAAUACUGUUGAGGUAGGCGGAAUAUAUCAUGUAGCGGUGAAAUGCUUAGAUAUGAUAUAGAACACCGAUUGCGAAGGCAGCUUACUAAGCAGUUAUUGACGCUGAGGCACGAAAGCGUGGGGAUC
Molecule: ribosomal RNA, 411 nt
Filed under: uncultured bacterium
Lineage: Bacteria
Description: bacterial SSU rRNA
Rfam family: Bacterial small subunit ribosomal RNA
Source: RNAcentral